GAGGCCAGCACCAGCUUUGGGCCCAAAUCCACAGCCACAACUCGAGAGGCCAGCACCAGCCCUAGGCUGUAAAGCUACAGUUACAGCCACAGAGGCCCAUAGCAGCCCUGGGGCUAAAGCCACAUCUACAGCCAGAAAGGCUGGCACUGGCCCCAGGCCUAAAGCCAAAGCCCGAAGGGCAGUACCAGCCCUGGGGACCAAAGACACAGCCCAAGAGGCUGGAACCAGUCCAGGGACUUAAAGCCAUAGCCACAGCCCGAGAAGCCAGCACCGACCCUGGAGCAUACAGAUGUGCAUUCCUAUUGCUUCCUAUUAGUUCUCCUGGGACUCCAUUGACCACUAUGAGGCCAUAUUGUUCUUUACUGGUUUUUAUUGGGCUGCACAUGAAUCAUCUUCACUUCUCCGUUAUUUUCUUCAAAUAACUGCAUUGGGUGACCCUGGUGUUGUUUCCUACAAUUGGGAUCUGGGAGGCGUCCAUCUCUUUCACUUUUGAUGGAAACACAGAAAUGAUGUGGGCACUCGUUGAGGUCACAAUCAUCACCAGGGUGGGAGCGUUUGUGCCUCAGCUGGUGAGCAGCGCUCAUGCUCUGGUGAGCGUGCUGCAUGCAGAGACUGAGCUGUGAGCCUUUCUUGAGAGAGAUCACCUUGUGAGAGCCCGUCGGAAGCACUGCUGCAGCGUGUGUGUGAGCUGGGCACAGCUUAGGCUGACCAGGCUGAACUGGUGAGCUGCAUUUGAUGCUGGGUGGUUGCUGGGAGGUGUCUCAACAGAAAAUCUGAUCUGGGGAGGAGUUCCCAACUCCAGCAGUGCCCAUCAGCAUGACUGUUUCCAGGGGAAAUGGGUUCUUGGUGAGAUUCCAUCCUGUAUUUCAGUGAGGAUGAUGAAAUGUCAUUACUCUCCUGGAAAUUCACUGCCAGACCCCCACCUUCAUGUCAGACAUUAUAAAGCAAGAAGAGUACAGACUUCACAGAGAGGAACUUGUGCGUCACUGCCCCAUGGAUGGCUGGGCGCAGAGCUACUGAGGAGUUGGAGAAGAGCACUUGCUGACAUAAGCCAUGGCAGUCAGAGACAAGCUGGAGCUAGCAUUAGGCAGCUCUGGCAGCCAGCUGAUUUCCAGAUGUUGCCCUCUUCGAGAGGCCGAAUGGCAUGAAUGAAGAAAGCUGGGAAAAUGCUUCUUCCUCAUUAAUUUUCACUUGUUGAUACUUUCUGCAGCUUUCAUGUCCAAACAGAGAUUUUGGGGAUAAAGGCAGUCCUAGGAAGAGUGAAGCCAGCUCUUUCCAGGAGCGAGGGAGGUUCCUGUGGAGAGAGCCCUCAGAACUUGGGCUUCCUCUGAGACUUCAGCGGUCAUGUCUCAGCAAGGAGACCAAUUCCUGCUCUGUGUGUGGAAAGAAGCAGUGCGGUGCGGUUCCCUGCAUUUGGGAGCAGCAGCCAGCAGGCUGCCAGAGAUCCAACUGCACCUUGCAGCGCACAGAGGGAUGUGAUAGGGAUGGAUCACCCUUAGCACCACGCAAAAGGAUGGAGCCUGGGUGUCCACGGGAUGGAGCUGGGCAUGGAGGGAAAUGGAAAGCCUCCACACAAGGCGAUGCAAGCGGCCUUCCAGCGAAGUGCAGCCUUGUGAAAAGUCUGGGGAGGAAUACAGGGCGUAACAUGGCACCCAAGAGAGCAAGAAGACAAAGACAAAAAGAGAGGAGAAUGGAAAUGAUGAAGGCUGCUCUGAGAGCUGCCGCUGCACGUACAGAGUCCUCCACAGUGAACAGCCUUGUGGAAAUGAUGCAGAAACUGCAGCUGAAGGACUGAAAGGAAGAGCAUCAGAAGGCAGUGGCUGCAGUGAGUGGUGUUACAGGGCAGCGCUGCGAGUGCCGCCUGACUCGGCACUCCACGUCUUAUCUGGUUGUGCUCAAUCAAUAAACAAUCACAAUUAUGGAUUCACAAAGGGCGCACAGCCUGAUUUGUCCAGCAGCAUUUCAUGAGCUGCUGCACGACUUCUGGUCCAGAGUAGCAUCUCUGCAGCUUCAGCCCACCAAGCCCCCGUCCUGUUCUUCGAGGCAGUGUUCCGAGUGCUAUUGCUGUUGCUGAUACCUGAGGAUGCCCAUGGAGCUCCGUGGAUCACAGGACAUGGCCACUGCACUCUGCUCCACCCCCUGUGCCUCUGAACGUGGUGUUCUCUGUGCAGGCCUGCCCUUGUGCAAACCCACGUGCAGACAUUGCAAUCCCAUCCCUUUGCACAGAGCUGUGCAUGUCCAUCUCUGUAAACACACACAUAUGAACACACACCCACAUGGGCCACCCCACCACACAGCCUCAUGCAAAGACAAAUUUGUGUGCAUGUUUGCAAAACCAACAGUCUACCUGCAAACCCCUUCUUGCAAACUCCCAUGUGCAAUGCACAUCCUGACAUGCAUCUCCAUCCUUGCACCCCCUGUAAGCAGACAUACUGUCAAUCUUUAUCGCUGGACAGUGAAAUACUCCUGGCAGUGAAUUCUCUCUCUGUACCACUGGUUUUGUAGUUGUCAUUGUUACAUUUGCCUGGAUGUCACUCUGGGUUUUCUGUAUGUGUCCCUUUCUGAAAUUGUACUUCUCACUGGGGAAGCCCCUCACAACCUCUUCU
Non-coding RNA from Meleagris gallopavo (turkey), 2606 nucleotides. NCBI's taxonomy places the organism in Eukaryota, Metazoa, Chordata, Aves, Galliformes, Phasianidae. The record is from RefSeq and is a predicted model, not a curated record.